UCCUGCCUUCCUCUGCACCAG
RNAcentral lists this microRNA (21 nucleotides) under Homo sapiens (human). RNAcentral's name for it is "hsa-miR-6747-3p". Lineage: Eukaryota; Metazoa; Chordata; Mammalia; Primates; Hominidae. The record is from miRBase by way of RNAcentral.